GUAUAGGGGGUGAAUUCUGCCCAAUGGUUGUAUCGUGAAACCGAGGAUUAACGUCCAAGGCUAAGCCCAACUGAAUGGCCGCGGUAUACCUGACCGUGAUAAUGUAGCACAAUCAAUAGCCAAUUAAUUGUUGGCGGGUAUGAAUGGAAUCACGAGGGUCUUACUGUCUCAAGAGGAAAGCUAAUGAAAUUAUAGUUGUAGUGAAGAUACUACAUACACAUUGUAAGACGAGAAGACCCUAUCGAGCUUUACUGGACACCGACAAUGUUGGCGAGAGACGACCAGCCCCUAGGGGUUAUAAUCUUUCGCUUGACCCCUAGUCGGUCGGACAGUUUAGUUGGGGCGACUACCUUUGAAUAAGAAACGAAGGCGAGCUUAUGGUGUACAGCUAAUCUCGUUAGCCUGACAGUGAGGGGGACACCCCUAGCUGGCACCCCUUUGGGGCUCCAACAGGCACCCCUUCGGGGUGGGCGAUAAUGACCCGAUACCAGAUCUAUAAGUUGGUAUCGAAAGCGGACAAAAGCUACCGUAGGGAUAACAGCGUAAUAUUAUUGGAGAGCUCGUAUCGAGGAUAGUGUUUGCGACCUCGAUGUUGAAUUGCGAUGUCCUGGUGCUGUAGAAGGUACCUAGGGUUGGUC
Molecule: ribosomal RNA, 638 nt
Filed under: Tenerodus fallax
Lineage: Eukaryota; Metazoa; Cnidaria; Anthozoa; Malacalcyonacea; Leptophytidae
Description: partial 16S ribosomal RNA
Rfam family: Bacterial large subunit ribosomal RNA
Source: RNAcentral